UGGGGAAUAUUGCACAAUGGGGGAAACCCUGAUGCAGCGACGCCGCGUGAACGAAGAAGGUAUUCGUAUCGUAAAGUUCUGUCCUAUGGGAAGAUAAUGACAGUACCAUAGAAGAAAGCUCCGGCUAAAUACGUGCCAGCAGCCGCGGUAAUACGUAUGGAGCGAGCGUCGUCCGGAAUUAUUGGGCGUAAAGGGUACGCAGGCGGUUUAAUAAGUCGAAUGUUAAAGAUCGGGGCUCAACCCCGUAAAGCAUUGGAAACUGAUAAACUUGAGUAGUGGAGAGGAAAGUGGAAUUCCUAGUGUAGUGGUGAAAUACGUAGAUAUUAGGAGGAAUACCAGUAGCGAAGGCGACUUUCUGGACACAAACUGACGCUGAGGUACGAAAGCGUGGGGAGCAAACAGG
Molecule: ribosomal RNA, 403 nt
Filed under: bacterium
Lineage: Bacteria
Description: partial 16S ribosomal RNA
Rfam family: Bacterial small subunit ribosomal RNA
Source: RNAcentral